Molecule: unclassified non-coding RNA, 240 nt
Filed under: soil metagenome
Description: partial contains 5.8S ribosomal RNA, internal transcribed spacer 2, and large subunit ribosomal RNA
Source: RNAcentral
AACGGUCUAUACCUGCGGUACCUGCGGAGGGAUCAUUACCGAGUUAUACAACUCCCAAACCCACUGUGAACCUUACCUCAGUUGCCUCGGCGGGACCGCCCCGGCCGCCGCGCAAGCGGCGCCGGACUCCAAGGCGCCCGCCGCAGGGACCCAAAACUCUUUUGCAUUACGCCCAACGGCGGGAAUUUUUUCUCUGAGUGCAUAAGCAAAACAAAUGAAUCAAAACUUUCAGCAACGGAU